Molecule: long non-coding RNA, 3981 nt
Organism: Gasterosteus aculeatus aculeatus (three-spined stickleback)
Lineage: Eukaryota; Metazoa; Chordata; Actinopteri; Perciformes; Gasterosteidae
Source: Ensembl
GGGGGGUCCUCUUCUCGCCGCAAUGAGAUUGGUGGAACCUUUGCGCCGUUAUAUGCCGAGGGAGGAGGGAGAGACGGACGCAGCCUCCAUCCCGCUCUCUGCAUCUCAGCGCGUGCGCGUGCGCGCGCGGCAAAGAAUAGUGCACUGGUGAGGACGUGGGCGAGGGGCGGGUGAGGAGGGGGGGGGGUUGUCUCUGAACUGGUUUGUCUCUCGGUGAGGAGGAUCCUCGGUUUGUUGAUGCCCGACGAUGCGGCACGAAGGUAAAGCGGCGGCGAUGCGUCCGAUAGGAGCGACGUGGCAGCAGGUGCGUCCCAACGGCGCGCAGACUGACAAAGAGUGUGUUGCGGCUGGGGGGGGAGGUGGUGGGGGGGUCCCGAUGUAAGACACCAAGGGACCACACCCUGAUAUGAAGGACAUUUUUAAAUGGGACUGGUAGUUGCGCUGGUUUCUCUGACGGUCUCUGCUGCACUGCGGUGACACCCCCCCCCCCAACACACACACACACACACACACACACACACAUUAGAUCCAGCAGCGACAAUAGCGGCUUUUUACGCGCGACUGUGGUGGCGAUGACUCUGCAUCCGCCCCCCCCCCCCCCCUCCCCUCCCUCCCUCCAUCGGUCCCUGUAAUUGACCACGACUGUUAUCAUACAACCAAGCUUCAUGAACAAAAUCUCUGCAUGAUGACUGCUGAAGUGUUUGUGUUAGUUUUCCUCCACAUCUUGUAAUGUAAUGAUGAAUAAAGUGCGCGGCGCCGUUGUAGCGCAUCACCUCCACGUGCAGAAAUCCCUUAUUGAAUAUUAUGCAAUAAAUAUGUCGUCGCCGCCGCGGUUUAGAAAACAAGACGAGUCUAAUAUUUUAACAUUAAGUCCGCAGCGUGUUUGUUUGUUUGUCUGUUUGUUUGUUUGCUGUGUCUUCGUGGGCGUGCGGAGCCUCGCAGAGCCACGUUCGCACAGCAGAACUUGUUUGAACCGGAUCAUCGGAGGCAACCCGCUAUUGACAAGGCUGCAUCCACCCACUCCCCCCCCCCCCCCCCCCCCCCCCCCUCCUCAAGGUAUCCUCACCCCCUCCUCCUCCCACCGCGGGGGGCGCCGGCAGGAGGGAGUCAGGUGAUAAACUGCGGAGUUCUAAAGUCAUCACAUUCUCUGCUCAUCCCGGACGUUUGCUCCGCAAAAAUGUGUCCAGAGGUGGAUUUCAGCGCGUCAGCACCUGCACCGCCCCGCCACGCCGAGCGGCUGGAAGAUGCUGCGAGCAUGCGCAGUGUCCGUUUUUCACCGACCGCUUCAGGGGCCGUCGGUAAUGUCGCCACCGAGCGAAACAAAGUUUCUAAAAAUGUCUUUAUUUUCGUGGAUUUAGAAGCAAAUGACGGAAAACAGCAACUAUAGCUACCCAUGACACACGCCAAAGUGACAAAUAUGAUCUCAAACUGCUGUCUUUAUUUUGCCACGGUACUAAUCAAGUCUGUAUGACAUCCACCAAAACAUUGUUCCCAUAUAUUUCCAUUUUGUCAAACAUUAAUAACUCUACGCUCUGCGUGUCUAAUAAGGGAUCAGCUUGAAGAUAUUUUGAAACUAUUUACCAUCUACAAUACAUUAUUUUAAAAUAAAAAGAGCCUUUUGCCAACAAGUUGACCUUUUCCAUCAGUUUCCAUCACCAAAUCUUUAUUUUCAAUAUAUUAAAAACAGAGAUUUGCGAUACACAAAUGACUCUCACCUUCACCUUCAAAGAGUACAUACUGACUAUGGCAGAUGGAUUUUCUACACUGUAGGCAAAUCACAAGUGAUGUUUGGAACAUCGUUAAACUCUAUAUGUAUUUAUUACUAAUGACUAACUGGAUCAAACGGUUGACUCAGUGAGAUUUCCCUGCAAAGGGAUGAACUACAGACUAUUAUGUGCAAGAACCCUGAGCGUGCUUCUCCGUUACUCCUCACAUGAACGGACUUGUUGAAAACAGAGACUCGCAUAUUGUUCUAAUAAUCUAGCGCGUGACCUCUGACACUUUGAGAUUCCCUGCGUCUGAGGACCCUCCCGCCCCCCUAAAGAUCACAAUGCCAGUCUCCUGCCUCUGCUCCGGCUGUGACCUCUUGACCCUUUUCAGGACCCCGCUCCUCAGCGUGCUUCCCACAGUGUGUGCGAGCUGCAGCAGACCCACCCAUGAAGUAGCUCAGAGCGACCCCGCCUAAAGGGAAGGAAUGGGAGGAGCUGCCUUUGACCCCCGUUGCUAUGGAUGAUGUCAGCAUUGAGACGCCUCAUGAAUACUUCCUGCUGUGGAGGGAUCAGGGGUUUCUUAACCUUGGAUGGGAAAGGAGAUUAACUCCUUUUAUAUACUGAAAACAUGAAGAGAGACACGUGGAAUAGGUUUAACCGCCAUAUAUUUAUACCUAAUUUAAUACUGAGAUAUUAAAGGAAGAUUUUGUCUAGUGACGAGAUAGUGCAACAAACUUCUGUUAAGAUCUAUACUUAAAUCAUCUUAAAAUAGAAAUGAGCUGGAAACUCAUUGGAUAUGAACGAAUUCAUUCAUUUAGUCAUGCGCUUUCUAUCGAGGACAUGUGGAAAAACGGGUAUCUUCAAUUUCUUUACUAAUGAAAUUUCCAUUGAAGGCCUAUAAAUAAAAUGUACUUUUUUUUCGAAAUAUUACAUUACACUUAUUUGUGUGUAUUAAAUGUCACCACCACUGGCUUUGUUAUCGUGGUCUGAAUCAACUGACCUUUUGGUAUAUUGGUGCUUAACGAUACGGAGAAAUAAAGUUGCCUCGGCAACAAGCGGGAUGCAUUCGUAUCUUAGCUCGCAUGUUUAUUUCCAAAAUGACUCUUCCUCUGUCACUCUAACCCUCUUUGAGUAAUCUUCCUCUGCAUCAUGUGUUCUAUAACUAUAUAUAAUGAAUAUAUCAUGAUGCACAUCACUUAUUCAUGGUGCCCUGUUAACAUUGGCUAGUGUCCCCUGUUGCUGUGGCCUCCCACUAAACAGCACCAGUAUGAAGCUGCAGGGGAUCCACUGAACAAGUGUUUACACCUCUUUUAAAUGCUUGUCUCUGCACAUUAAGCUUCAGGUCCGAUAUCACCAAGAUUACCUGGAAGAAUAGUAACUGUCCCUCUGUGAGCAAUGAGAAGCUUCUGACACUGAGAACUGCUGCUUUAUCAAUAAAUAAAACCUCGCAGACUGAGACUAUUCACAGUUUCCGCUCAGAAGUCCCUCAAACUGGAGCAGAUUAACAUCUGGAGGGAGAUGCUUUUCAUGCGGGGUUCCUCAUAUCGUUAUUUCCUCCUCGGGGGGGGAGAGGCGUCGCCAGCUUGUGAGCAGCUUUAUUUCUUUCACAGUUUCCUCUCACACCGGCUGCUGGUCGUUUUUUUAAAUUUAUUUUUUCAGCAUCUCAUUGAUGGUGUUUGCGACGACCACCACGUCGACUCUCGUCUCUGCUGCCAUUUGCGUUACCUGCCUUUUACUUCAGCACUUUUCUUAAUGUGCAGCCUCACACAUCUAAAUAGUAACGAAUGUCUACUAUUCACAACCAAUGCAGGUCUCGAUGGCGUCGCUUGAUUUGCAAAACCCUCCCAUGUCGAUUGAGGUUCGACGUCGAGCGGUAAGGUCAACGCAAGGCGUCUCGCGUGACCAUCUGGACGUUAUCCCAAAGUGGAUGUCACUUGAGCCGUCAAGUUGGUGGGUUUGUAUAAAUACCACAAGGUCGUUCUCAGUGUGACAUCCUCGUAUCACAUAGCAUCCAUCUGUUCUUCUAAUGGAAGACAGAUGAAAUAUUGGAUAAAUAAUUAGCUCGCGGCUGCAGUGGCUCCGCCUCCGGCCGGGAGCGGGGCUUCACCUCGCCCUGAUAUAAUGCUUCGGUUUAGAUAACAUCCAGUUGACAGUGUACUUGUCUGCGAAAUAAUGUCAAAGCAAUGCAAAGUGAGGUGAAAGGGCAGGAAAGUAUUGAGGAUCUUGCCUGCUUACCCCCCCAUCCCCCGCCUAUAUGAGAAUUUCAAACAGC